This 867-nucleotide long non-coding RNA is filed under the name Ananas comosus (pineapple). Its description in RNAcentral is "long non-coding RNA (ACOM_LNC018527)". Lineage: Eukaryota; Viridiplantae; Streptophyta; Magnoliopsida; Poales; Bromeliaceae. The record is from RNAcentral.
GAAUUUCUCAAAUAUCUCAUUAAUCCACCUAUCAUUUGAAUUUAAUAAUAUAGUAAAUAGAAUAGAUACGAUGACACGUGGAAAACAUAUAGAAAACCACGUUAGGAAAUUGUCUCUAUCCUUUUUUACUAAUAUUUUUAUAUCUAGUAAUUUUCAACUAAUAAUUUCAAAUAAUUAACUAAGUAGUAAUUUAUUCUCGAAUAAAGAUAAAUAUUUUCCUUCUCAUGCGUAAUAUCUGUACCUGCCAAUUCUUUCGCAACGUAAUAUCCGUAAAUUUCUUAAAUAUCUCAACAUAAUUAUAGGUGACUUUGAAAUAAAAUUUCCUUCAUUACAGAUAAUUUUUAAUAAUUUAGUAAAAGAUAUUAUUUUCUUUAAAAAUUUAAUUUUAUUUUUUCUAAAGUAGAAAAUCUAUAUUUGAGUUUGACACGGAGAUUUUCUAUAUAGUAAAAGAUAUUAUUUUCUUAAAAAAUCUAAUUUUAUUUUUCUAUGUAUAAAAUUUUUUCAAAUAUCUCAAUAUAAUUAUAGGUAACUUUGAAAUAAAAUCUCCUUCAUUCAUUAUAGGUGAUUUUUAAAAAAUCUAUAUUUGAACUUGACACGUGGCAAACAUAUAGAGCGCCACAGAUAUUAUUUUCUUAAAAAAUUUAAUUUUGUGUCAGCUUCUCACAUAGGGUUCAUUAAGGGUUCUACUUUUAAAUAUAGUAAUAGAUAUCUACUCAUCAUGUCGUGCGGAUUAUAAAACCAGUUAAACAAAGAAGAAAAUAGUUUUCUGUCAUCGUUUUAUUUCUCAGCGAAUCAGAAUGAAUUCAAGACAUAUAAUUUUUUUAUAUUUAAUUUUUAUUUAGUAUUUUAUUCGGAGCCGAUCAGAAC